GUUAUCGUUUAUUUGAUAGUACCUUACUACAUGGAUACCUGUGGUAAUUCCUAGAGCUAAUACAUGCUAAAAACCCCGACUUCAGGAAGGGGUGUAUUUAUUAGAUAAAAAACCAACGCCCUUCGGGGCUCCUUGGUGAAUCAUAAUAACUUAACGAAUCGCAUGGCCUUGCGCCGGCGAUGGUUCAUUCAAAUUUCUGCCCUAUCAACUUUCGAUGGUAGGAUAGUGGCCUACCAUGGUGGCAACGGGUAACGGGGAAUUAGGGUUCGAUUCCGGAGAGGGAGCCUGAGAAACGGCUACCACAUCCAAGGAAGGCAGCAGGCGCGCAAAUUACCCAAUCCCGAUACGGGGAGGUAGUGACAAUAAAUACUGAUACGGGGCUCUUUUGGGUCUCGUAAUUGGAAUGAGAACAAUUUAAAUCCCUUAACGAGGAACAAUUGGAGGGCAAGUCUGGUGCCAGCAGCCGCGGUAAUUCCAGCUCCAAUAGCGUAUAUUAAAGUUGUUGCAGUUAAAAAGCUCGUAGUUGAACCUUGGGCCUGGCUGGCCGGUCCGCCUCACCGCGAGUACUGGUCCGGCUGGGCCUUUCCUUCUGGGGAACCUCAUGGCCUCACUGGCUGUGGGGGACCACGACUUUACUGUGAAAAAUAGAGUGUCAAGCAGGCCUUGCUCAUCAUAGCAUGANAUGAUAGCGGUGUCAUUGUGUCAGACGCGUAUGUAUAGAUGCCGGCUAGAUACGUGAGUAAUCUGAUGC
Molecule: ribosomal RNA, 751 nt
Filed under: Penicillium sp. 24.27
Lineage: Eukaryota; Fungi; Ascomycota; Eurotiomycetes; Eurotiales; Aspergillaceae
Description: SSU rRNA
Rfam family: Eukaryotic small subunit ribosomal RNA
Source: RNAcentral